This 164-nucleotide long non-coding RNA is filed under the name Mustela putorius furo (domestic ferret). Its description in RNAcentral is "lncRNA (ENSMPUG00000030138.1)". The record is from RNAcentral. Lineage: Eukaryota; Metazoa; Chordata; Mammalia; Carnivora; Mustelidae.
UGGGCCCAGGAGAGCUGGCCCAGUCUCUCCCUGGCCUCAGUCCCUCUGGCUCCCUGGCCUUCUCUGCAUGAGCCUCCCACUUGUAGGCGCUCUGCUUGCACUCAACAAUGAGUUCAGUGAGCCUUUCUGAAGCCAUCUGAGGAGUGGAAUUUCCUACAAGUCCC